CAGUAGCCGCGGGAAUACCGAGGGUGCGAGCGUUAAUCGGAUUUACUGGGCGUAAAGCGUGCGUAGGCGGCUUCUUAAGUCGGAUGUGAAAUCCCUGAGCUUAACUUAGGAAUUGCAUUCGAUACUGGGAAGCUAGAGUAUGGGAGAGGAUGGUAGAAUUCCAGGUGUAGCGGUGAAAUGCGUAGAGAUCUGGAGGAAUACCGAUGGCGAAGGCAGCCAUCUGGCCUAAUACUGACGCUGAGGUACGAAAGCAUGGGGAGCAAACAGGAUUAGAUACCCCUGUAGUCCCUGUCUCUUAUAC
Molecule: ribosomal RNA, 301 nt
Filed under: uncultured bacterium
Lineage: Bacteria
Description: partial 16S ribosomal RNA
Rfam family: Bacterial small subunit ribosomal RNA
Source: RNAcentral